UGAGUAACACGAUUCCAACCUGCCGUCUACUCUUGGACAGCCUUCUGAAAGGAAGAUUAAUACAAGAUGGCAUCAUGAGUCCGCAUGUUCACAUGAUUAAAGGUAUUCCGGUAGACGAUGGGGAUGCGUUCCAUUAGAUAGUAGGCGGGGUAACGGCCCACCUAGUCUUCGAUGGAUAGGGGUUCUGAGAGGAAGGUCCCCCACAUUGGAACUGAGACACGGUCCAA
RNAcentral lists this ribosomal RNA (227 nucleotides) under uncultured bacterium. RNAcentral describes it as "partial 16S ribosomal RNA". It matches the Rfam family "Bacterial small subunit ribosomal RNA", at positions 107 to 334 of the family's 1533-position model. The record is from RNAcentral.